This 24-nucleotide non-coding RNA is filed under the name Arabidopsis thaliana (thale cress). Lineage: Eukaryota; Viridiplantae; Streptophyta; Magnoliopsida; Brassicales; Brassicaceae. The record is from RNAcentral.
AUGCGAAACUCGGACUAUCCAGUC